RNAcentral lists this ribosomal RNA (870 nucleotides) under Acinetobacter sp. D12. RNAcentral's name for it is "bacterial SSU rRNA". It matches the Rfam family "Bacterial small subunit ribosomal RNA", at positions 46 to 910 of the family's 1533-position model. The record is from RNAcentral. Lineage: Bacteria; Pseudomonadati; Pseudomonadota; Gammaproteobacteria; Moraxellales; Moraxellaceae.
GCUUACCAUGCAAGUCGAGCGGGGGAGAUUGCUUCGGUAAUUGACCUAGCGGCGGACGGGUGAGUAAUACUUAGGAAUCUGCCUAUUAAUGGGGGACAACAUCUCGAAAGGGAUGCUAAUACCGCAUACGCCCUACGGGGGAAAGCAGGGGAUCACUUGUGACCUUGCGUUAAUAGAUGAGCCUAAGUCGGAUUAGCUAGUUGGUGGGGUAAAGGCCUACCAAGGCGACGAUCUGUAGCGGGUCUGAGAGGAUGAUCCGCCACACUGGGACUGAGACACGGCCCAGACUCCUACGGGAGGCAGCAGUGGGGAAUAUUGGACAAUGGGGGGAACCCUGAUCCAGCCAUGCCGCGUGUGUGAAGAAGGCCUUAUGGUUGUAAAGCACUUUAAGCGAGGAGGAGGCUCUUUUGGUUAAUACCCAAGAUGAGUGGACGUUACUCGCAGAAUAAGCACCGGCUAACUCUGUGCCAGCAGCCGCGGUAAUACAGAGGGUGCGAGCGUUAAUCGGAUUUACUGGGCGUAAAGCGUGCGUAGGCGGCUUUUUAAGUCGGAUGUGAAAUCCCCGAGCUUAACUUGGGAAUUGCAUUCGAUACUGGGAAGCUAGAGUAUGGGAGAGGAUGGUAGAAUUCCAGGUGUAGCGGUGAAAUGCGUAGAGAUCUGGAGGAAUACCGAUGGCGAAGGCAGCCAUCUGGCCUAAUACUGACGCUGAGGUACGAAAGCAUGGGGAGCAAACAGGAUUAGAUACCCUGGUAGUCCAUGCCGUAAACGAUGUCUACUAGCCGUUGGGGUCUUUGAGACUUUAGUGGCGCAGCUAACGCGAUAAGUAGACCGCCUGGGGAGUACGGUCGCAAGACUAAAACUCAAAUGAAU